GACGAACGCUGGCGGCGUGCUUAACACAUGCAAGUCGAACGGAAAGGCCCUGCUUUUGUGGGGUGCUCGAGUGGCGAACGGGUGAGUAACACGUGAGUAACCUGCCCUUGACUUUGGGAUAACUUCAGGAAACUGGGGCUAAUACCGGAUAGGAGCUCCUGCUGCAUGGUGGGGGUUGGAAAGUUUCGGCGGUUGGGGAUGGACUCGCGGCUUAUCAGCUUGUUGGUGGGGUAGUGGCUUACCAAGGCUUUGACGGGUAGCCGGCCUGAGAGGGUGACCGGCCACAUUGGGACUGCGAUACGGCCCAGACUCCUACGGUAGGCAGCAGUGGGGAAUAUUGCACAAUGGGCGGAAGCCUGAUGCAGCAACGCCGCGUUCGGGAUGACGGCCUUCGGGUUGUAAACCGCUUUCGCCUGUGACGAAGCGUGAGUGACGGUAAUGGGUAAAGAAGCACCGGCUAACUACGUG
Molecule: ribosomal RNA, 468 nt
Filed under: uncultured bacterium
Lineage: Bacteria
Description: partial 16S ribosomal RNA
Rfam family: Bacterial small subunit ribosomal RNA
Source: RNAcentral